UCUGAGCUGGUCAGGCUUACACAGGCUUUGUACAGGGGCCAAAGAGGGACUGGACAGCCUAUUUCUUUGGGGCUGGUGGCUCCAACUCCAAAUUAGGGGUGCAGUGAAUGUCUUUCCAAGAAGCACACAGCAGGCUGGGCAAGCUGGUGAACUCUGGGAGCUAAAGAGAUGAAGACAAUUCAGGUUUGCGCUCAGCCCAGAGUCUCACCAUUUUAAGAUAAGAGGUUCAGGUCUGUGGAGCAACAUGAAGGCUGUUUCCAAAGGAUGGCAUCAUAUGAUUGCUGGAGCCUCCAACUCACUACAUAGUUAAAAAUGACCUUCAGCUUCUAAGCCUCCUGGCUCCGCCUUUGUUGGGAUUACAGGCAAGUGCUGCCAUGUCUGGUUUCAUGUGGUGCUGGGGAUUUGAACCAGAGCUUCAUGCACGUUAGUCAAGUGCUUUACCAACUCACCUAUAUUCUUGCCUCCUCUUUCUUUUUCUCUAUUUCUUUAUUGCUUCUUCUUCUUUUUUUUUUUAAGUGAGUCUUUAAUUAAAGAGUGUAUUCUACAAUGAAUUGUAAUGUUUCAGUAUCCAAUGCUACUUUGUUUUUUCUUUGAAACCAGACUUUGUAGUCCAGUGGUGCAGACUGGUGUCAGAUGCCCUAUCUUCCCCCUUAUUCUCCCGAGUGCAGAGAUUAUGGUCAUGAGUGACCACACCUAGUCAUUAUGGAAUAGUGUUCAAGAAGAUAGCCUGAAACACUGAAAACUUUAAAAAUAGGCUAAAUUGAAAAUGAGGGGCAUGGGGAGCUAAGCCUGUUGGGGCAGUGAAAGCCCCUAAAGUCAGAGCAGGAACAUCAGGAGUUCAAGGCCAUCUUCAGCUACAAAGUGAGUUCAAGGCUAGCCUGAGAUAUUUGAAAUACUAUCUCAAAAAAAGUAAAGAAACUAAUGAACAGUCAAUAAUCACGGGAAAUCUAAAUAAAUCACAAUAUACCCUUACAACAGGAUGCCGUCAACAGCUACGGAAGGCCAUGCUGGAGAGGGUAUACAUAAAUUCCAGGAGAUGACAGAGAAAAGGACCCUGGAGCUAUAGCCAUCCAAACCCAUUUUAUCAGGCCUAUUGUUACAGGGGACAGAGAACUAGAAGCCAAACUGGACUUAGUCCUGACUACAGUAGAGAGAAGUGUGGUUUGUAACCUAGGAACCAGAGUGGGAAGCAGCAGAGGGAAAUGGGCAGGAUUCUGUCUAAUAACACUUGCCUGGGGACUGGGGAGAUAAUUCAGUGGGCAAAGUGCAUCAGAACCUGAGCUUAAGUCCUUUGACCAAAUGAUUGCAGUCACAGGAGUCUGUGAAUAGAGUGCUCCUCUGACGAGACAGAGACUCCCUGGAUGCUUUGAGGACAGCCAGGUUGGCCUGUGCAGAAGAACAACAAAGAUAUCCUGUCUCAAACCAGGUGGGAGAUGAGGACUGACAUCCGAGGCCGAAGCAUAUGUGCGUCAUCCUCCAUCAGAGACACAGACACAUAUACUUCACCCUCCUCAUACACUUGACUGGGUUCCUGCUGAAGUUGGCCAUGGCAGUUGAAUAUCAAAAAUGCUCUAGUACUUUGAUUAACGAUGAAGACUCCGGGCUUCUUUCUGAGCUGACUUAGACAGAUUCUUGGUGGAGAUGGGCCAUAUAGACCCAGCAAGGAGUGAGGCCAAGGUCAAGGUUUCUGGAUUUACAGUAUCUUGACUAAAGGGCGAUGAAGGAGGGUGUCCUCGUCAAAACCUUCAUGUGUUGUUUCUACAACGCCAAAGCAGGACAGAUGUUGGUAGAUACAAUGUGCUCCUGAUUAUGUUAAAAUAUUUAUAGACAGACAUGUACAAACCAGGAGGGCCUUGCAUUCAUUUUUCUUUUAUAAUAAAAAAUACGCUAACUUCAUGUAUUUGAGAGGCGGAAAAUUCUUUACUCCGGUUUUUUAGGGUUACACUUAUUUAAGUUUUGUUGAAAAACUGCAUCCCUUAAAGCAAAAAUUAAUAGUCAUUAUAGACCACUACUUGAAGAAGGGUCAUUAGCUCUUGCCCCGUGUGUGUGUAUGUGUGUGUGCGUGUGUGCAUGUGUGUGUGUGUGUGUGUGUGUGUGUGUGUAUAAAGGGAGUGGUGGUGGUAAGCUUUGGCAAAGGGGAUGUUGAAACAUGAAACAACUGUGCCAUUCCUCAUAAUAACCAUGGCACGAACACAGUCCAGUUGCCUGGUCUCAAAUAGAAAUAAUUGGGCAUCUCACUCUGUGAUCCAGCUUAUAUAGCAACUGCCAUUUGCUUGUAGAGAGAAUUCCUCAUCCUGAGCACAGGGUGGUGUGGGGGGUGUUAUAUAAUACAUAUUUAUGUGACCAUUGAGGGUAGAAACAGGGUAAAGUUAGCUAUGACUCUCAACUGUCCCCAUGAGCAGGGGCAUCCCAAGACGCAUACAAUGAACCAUUAUUUUAGCCUUUUAGGAAAGAAUUUGGAAGGAAAUAAUCCUUAUAGAGCUAUUAAUACAACCUUCAAGAGACGGUAUGGACGGGUAGCAAAAAAAUCUCAAGUGAAGUUAGUAGGGUUGGGCUACACUCCUAAGUUGGCAGUUUCCAACCUUUUUGUAUUGGUAGCAUCCUGCUGAAGUCUUGCUGAAUCCUGAUAUGACUCAAACAUUUAAGACAGUGCUUAGUGGCUCAGGAUCCUCAGGGUCUUUAUAAAGCACUGCAUCUUAUGGUCUAGUAUAUGGAUUUUCAACCUGUGGGUCAGGACCCUUUGGAGGGGGUUGAAAGACCCUUUUGCAGGGGUUCCCUAAGAUAAUCAGAAAACACAGAUAUUUACAUUAUGAUUCAUCACAGUAGAAAAUUGAAGUAAUAACAGAAUAAUUUCAUGGUUAGGGUUCACCACAACAUGAGGAACUGUAUUAAAGGGGCAAAGCAUCAGGAAGGUUGAGAACCACUGGUCUGGUAGGUAAGAAAGCAUUCACUUAUCCCAUGACUCCCUGGGGGGGACCUUUCAGUGUUCUGACUUUUAUUAAUAGAACUGCUAAUUACUCUGACCUCCAGGUCAGGCUCCUAUGGUCUACUGAACAUGUCCUCUUUGGAACUCAUCUCUGUCCUCUUACCUAUGUCAGAAGGAAUCUAUUCUAAGCUGAGUUGCAUAAUGUAACCAUUCAAGGAGUCAUGUGACUGCCACCGUUCCCUUUAGUUGGAACAGAAUUUGAGAGCACACCUUUAGAUUGAAGACUGUCUCAGGAUGCUUGGGGUUGGGGGUAGGGUGUCGGGUGGACAUAAGUCUCCAGUCUGUGCUGAUAGUGAGGUUGGUGGUCCUUGCCAGUGUCUGCUCAUGAAACUUGUGGCACGGGGCUGUCUGCUGAGGUGACACUUUUUGUUUCUGCAGAACAAACGUUCAUUAAAUGAUUGAGGUAUUCAUGGUGGUCUCAUGGGUCUUUAUUCUGUAGUCCUGGCUGGUCUGGAGCUCACUCUGUAGUCCAGGAUGGCCUUGAACAUAAGGCAAUCUUCCUGUCUCAGACUUUCAAGAGCUUGUACUGCAGCCAAAAGUUGCAGUCAUAAGUUCCCGAAACAGGGGAGCUACACAGCAGGAGGAUUGCUUCAAGGGCAGCUUGGACUACACAGCUUGAACCUGUCUCAACAUCUCCUAGAAGCCUCCCCACCUCCAGUUCCCCCCUAUAGUCUUGUCUUUCUAUCCUGCUUCAAGGGCAGUUAGCGAGAGGAAGGACUUUCUCCUCAGUGGUUCCUGCCCAGCACAGCGCAUUGUCAUCUUCUACCUGCAGAUCAGCUCCAGAAGUAAAAAUGCAGCUGUCACAAAUGUCCUUUAUAGUUCUUCCCCAGUGCUCCUCUGCCUUUGUCUCUGAGUGGUGGAUAUAAGAGAUGUUUUGAACUCUUGAAGAAUGCCUCAUGGACGCACAAAGGUUACUCCCCUGAGGCCAACACCAUCUUCCAGUGCCUGUCUUGGCUCCCUGCCACAGUGCCUCAGACUUUACAAAUGUUUAAGGGGCAACUAUGUUCUCCCUGGCUCCCAGCAGGGACUUCCAUAGGAAGGCCUGACUGCUCUGCAGGUUAGAGGGCUCUGAGAAAAAUCCUUUAAGAGGGUGUUUAGAGUUUUUUUCAGAGAGCUGUGGGUCUGGGGAUUAGGACUCCUCACCAUGGGAGCCUUUGGUAUGGAGACCCUCAGUAGAUGUGGACAGGAGCACAAGUUGGGUGAGUAAGGAGAAUGUCACAGACUGAUGCACACACGUCCAUCCCUAAAUGAUGAGUUCUGCUUGGUGCCAAGGCUUCAUCUCAAGAGUCCUGCCUGCUUGUCUGGCUGCAAAGAGUUCAACUGAACUAUCCUCAUCACCAGCCUGCUUUAGACACCAGCUGCAUUCAUCCGUCAGGAUAAAGGAGGCCAAGGUCUAGCCUUGGGCUUACAGGUCUCCCACCAGUAGCUACAUGCCAUCAGUAGGCUUUUCCUAUUUCCUUCCAUCUUGGACCUGUGGUCUCUCCCUACCCUCCUUAUCCCAGAUGAUGAAGGUUUUUGCUCAGUGACUGGCACUACUGUUUGUACAGGAAUUUCCCCCCGAACCAGGCUUAUUAUUGCUAUUGUUCUUGUUGCUGUUGAGACAGACUUUCGCUGCAUAAACACAGAUGGUCCCUUAAGCACUGAGACUGCAAGCGUGUGCCACUGAACCCAGCAAAGGAAAGUGUUCACCUAUGGCAUGGGUCUGGCUUCCUCAGUCUAGAGUAUCUCUAAGCAAGCACUUUCUUUUUUUAUUUCUGCAGUUCUAUGGAUGGAACCCCAGGCCUAGUGCAUGGUGCACAGCCAUGUUGCCACUGAGUCACAUCCCCAGUCCUCAGGGCACAAAGAUAAUGGGGUGGAGCAUGAAGGGCCGUGGUUAUAAGGUCUGUGGCAUCAGAAUCACCUCUAUCUCAGGGUCCUUGGAUGCUUCUGGAUAAUCUGUGAAGUAUCUGUUAAUUUCUUUAGAAGACUUGGGGAAAAAAUUCCAAGACUAUCUAGAGAAAUAAGGACAAUUUAACUUUAUCCUCAGUGCCAAGAAAAAGAUAUGCCAAGUGAGGAUGAGCCUACAGACAGCCAUGGGCACUCCCUGCCUAGCCUUAAGCUCUCAGAGGGUGCCCCAGUACUGUGUCUGGACGGUGGCUUUAGUUCUUGCCCAAUGUGCUUCUGGAAAACACUGCCGGUGAUAACACCUUUAGAGUCAUGGAGAGUUUUAGAUGGCACCGCAAAGAUGCUCAGUUAGGAUAGGGGAGUCUAAAAAUAGUUCCCAGAGAGGGCUCCUGAGGCCAUCUCCCGUUUUUCCUGUCUGUGUUGGACAGAGCAGCUGAGUACAGUCAUCCUCAUGGAACAGGAGCGAAGAUGCUGUGUGGUGACCUGGGAAAGGGUCCAGAGACUGGACCUAGAGGUGAUGCAAUGGCUGAAAGAUAGAGCUGGAGGCCAGGUCAAUCGAAGGGAUGAAGUGCCCCAUGGGGAGCAGGGGUGAGGGGGCGCAGUGCCCCAUGGGGAGCAGGGGUGAGGGGGCGCAGUGCCCCAUGGGGAGCAGGGUGAGGGAAAAGCCAGCAAUGGUAAUGGCAUGAAAGCACCUUCUGUGGCUGUUCUCUCACCCUGGAGAGGAUAAAGAGUGAAGGCUGCACUUUGGCUGUGCUCUUGGGACCAGACCAUGACUUCCCGCGUGCCAACCUCCCAGAAUGGACAGCUAGGCUUCAGAUGGUCGGUUGGGACCUUGGCCCUAUGUGGGUUUGAGGGAGGAAGAUUGACAGCCACUGCUGCGAGCAGAUCACAAAGCCCUCAGAACCCGGAAGAAUGACUCAUGAGACAGCUGGCUCUGGGGACAGUUCAUAGCAGGUGGAGGCCUGCUUAGGUUCCAUCAAUCACCCACUGUUAUACCGGGUCAUGAAAGAAGGGACGAGGCAGGCUGGGUGGGUAGCAAAGGCCUUCUAUAGAGGAAAGGACUACUUAAUUCUAUUCAUGGACUCAGCAGCUUUGCAUGGGUAGAAUAUUCCCCUGGUUUUAGGGAUUAAUAACUAGGAAAAAACCAGGCAAAAAGAGAUUGACCUACCUUGGCAUGUUUUUUAGUGUAGAGGUUUUUGGGACUUGAACCUGAGUGUCUAUGGGGUCUAACUCCCCAUAGUUGGGAGGGAAAUGUGCAAAAUUACAGUUAGUUGGUUUUGUCUGUCAACUGUCCUCAGUGAAAGCCAGAGACCAUCCUCAGAUCGCUGUCCUGGGCAAUUUUUGUCAACUUGAUAUAAGUUAGAGUUAACUUGGGAAAAUAUCUCUGUCGGAUUGCCUGUAGGUAAGUCAGUAGGGAGUCUUCUUGAUGAAUGAUUGAUGUGAGAGGGGGCUAUGCCACCCCUGGGCAGGUAUUCUCUGGUGCUAUAAGAGAGCAGACUUAGCAAGCCUUGAGGAAUAGCCAGUGAACAGCACCCCUCUAUGGUUUCUUUUUUAGCUUGUCUCCAGAUUUCUGCCUUGAAUUCCUGCCUUGGCUUCCCUUUACGAUGGGCUGUAACCUGUAUGUCAAAUAGCCAAAUAAACUCCUCCCUCCCCAA
Long non-coding RNA from Mus musculus (house mouse), 6525 nucleotides. RefSeq annotates it as predicted gene, 31047. NCBI's taxonomy places the organism in Eukaryota, Metazoa, Chordata, Mammalia, Rodentia, Muridae. The record is from RefSeq and is a predicted model, not a curated record. The transcript is spliced from 7 exons.